RNAcentral lists this ribosomal RNA (468 nucleotides) under uncultured bacterium. RNAcentral describes it as "partial 16S ribosomal RNA". It matches the Rfam family "Bacterial small subunit ribosomal RNA", at positions 28 to 507 of the family's 1533-position model. The record is from RNAcentral.
GACGAACGCUGGCGGCGUGCUUAACACAUGCAAGUCGAACGGAAAGACCCUGCUUUUGUGGGGUGCUCGAGUGGCGAACGGGUGAGUAACACGUGAGUAACCUGCCCUUGACUUUGGGAUAACUUCAGGAAACUGGGGCUAAUGCCGGAUAGGAGCUCCUGCUGCAUGGUGGGGGUUGGAAAGUUUCGGCGGUUGGGGAUGGACUCGCGGCUUAUCAGCUUGUUGGUGGGGUAGUGGCUUACCAAGGCUUUGACGGGUAGCCGGCCUGAGAGGGUGACCGGCCACAUUGGGACUGAGAUACGGCCCAGACUCCUACGGGAGGCAGCAGUGGGGAAUAUUGCACAAUGGGCGGAAGCCUGAUGCAGCAACGCCGCGUGCGGGAUGACGGCCUUCGGGUUGUAAACCGCUUUCGCCUGUGACGAAGCGUGAGUGACGGUAAUGGGUAAAGAAGCACCGGCUAACUACGUG